Transfer RNA from Camelus ferus (Wild Bactrian camel), 72 nucleotides. It matches the Rfam family "tRNA". Rfam says of the family: Transfer RNA (tRNA) molecules are approximately 80 nucleotides in length. Their secondary structure includes four short double-helical elements and three loops (D, anti-codon, and T loops). The record is from Rfam. Lineage: Eukaryota; Metazoa; Chordata; Mammalia; Artiodactyla; Camelidae.
GGGGGUAUAGGUCAGUGAUAGAGCGCCUGCUUAGCAUGCAUGAGUUCCUGGGUUCAAUCCCCGGUACCUCCA